RNAcentral lists this microRNA precursor (80 nucleotides) under Mesocricetus auratus (golden hamster). RNAcentral describes it as "miRNA (ENSMAUG00000006162.1)". The record is from RNAcentral. Lineage: Eukaryota; Metazoa; Chordata; Mammalia; Rodentia; Cricetidae.
GAGCAGGCCAUGGAGAGCAAGCCCGUAAGCAGUGCCCCUCCAUGGCUUCUGCUUCAGUUCCUGCCUCCAGGUUCCUGCUU